Molecule: long non-coding RNA, 2502 nt
Organism: Eurytemora carolleeae
Lineage: Eukaryota; Metazoa; Arthropoda; Copepoda; Calanoida; Temoridae
Exons: 3
Source: RefSeq, a predicted model, not a curated record
AUUAUAGAGGACCAUUAUAGAGGACCAUUAUAGAGGACCAUUAUAGAGGACCAUUUUAGAGGACCAUUAUUGAGGACCAUUUUAGAGGACCAUUUUAGAGGACCAUUAUAGAGGACCAUUAUAGAGGACCAUUUUAGAGGACUAUAAUAGAGGACCAUUAUAGAGGACCAUUAUAGAGGACCAUUUUGGAGGACCUUUAUAGAGGACCAUUUUAGAGGACCAUUAUAGAGGACCAUUAUCGAGGACCAUUAUCGAGGACCAUUAUAGAGGACCUUUAUAGAGGACUAUUAUAGAGCACCAUUAUAGAGGACCAUUAUAGAGCACCAUUAUAGGGGUCCAUUUUAGAGGACCAUUGUAGAAGACCAUUAUAGAGGACCAUUAUAGAGGACCAUUCUAGAGGACCCUUAUAGAGGACCAUUAUAGAGGACCCUUAUAGAGGACCAUUAUAGAGGACCAUUAAAGAGGACCAUUAUAGUAGACCAUUAUAGAGAACCAUUAUAGAGGACCAUUAAAGAGGACCAUUAUAGAGGACCAUUGUAGAGGACCAUUAUUGAGAACCAUUAUUGAGGACCAUUAUAAAGGGCCAUUAUAGAGGACCAUUAUAGAGGAUCAUUAUAGAGGACCACUAUAGAGGACCAUUAUAGAGGACCAUUAUAAAGGACCAUUAUAGAGGACCAUUAUAUGUUAAAAACGAACGUCUACUAUAUAUGGUUAUCCAGUAUCCAGUAGCCAGUAUCUAUUGCGUUAUUCAACUAGUGGGUAACGAACGAACGAAUUUUUUUUUAAUAUUUAUGAUUUUGUCAUUCUGUUCUUUGGUUGAUUUAUUUGUACUAUUUCAGAUAUUCUGGGUGGAUGUACUGGUACUAUUUGGGUUCUUCAUCCUACUCAGAUUUACAGGGUACUUUGUACUCAAGUUCAAACUACAUAUGGACAGCAGAUAGAUAGAAAGAUACUCCCAGAGCCCGAAAUUUAAAAGAUUUUGGGCUCUGGAAAAUAUGUACUCAAUAACCUCCUUGGAAAAUAUGUACUCAAUAACAGCAUUUGUAUAGUGAAAGUAUUAAACAUAUCACUUCAGUGACAUCGUUGAAAGGUCGUCAUAGAAAAAGCGAAAGUUCCAUUAGAUUUUACUUAAUUUGGACUAUCUCCUUCUGUUGUCAUGAAAGUGAUACGUUUACUGACUCUCUCUGUAUUAAAUAUACGAAAUCUCAAAAAACGAUAUGAAAUUUCGCUUUAAAAAUUCGAGAGCGUUUUUCAAACCAACCAUUUUGUUUGAUUUACAGUAUUAUCUAAUGAAUUAUCUAUGAAGAAACCUACGAUCUGCUAAACAUUUAUUCUAGUAUUCGAUGUCUUUCCAACUUAAUAGAAAUAUAUAAAGGGACUGUGGGAGAAAUUUUAUUUAGCCAUCAGCUCAAAAAAGUUGUCCGAUUAACCUUUUUGAACUUUUGAAUCUGCAGGGUAUGACUCAUGUAUAUAAAAUGGGUUACUUGUACUUGUACUUGUACUUGUACUUGUUCUUGUACUUGUACUUGUACUUGUACUUGUACUUGUACUUGUACUUGUACUUGUACUUGUUUUGUUAAUAAUGUAUGUUUAUUAUGUCUUGUUUUUGUUGCUACAAUCUACAUUUGUAAAUUGUUAAUAAUUGUCAUGUCUACUUAUCGGAAGAAAAUCCAAACAACAAGUCUAUAAAAAUGUUGUUUGAACAGUUGAAGCCAAGGAUUGAAGCCAAUCUGAAAAUCAGUAAAGUUAAAAGACGCCCCACUUUCACAAAAUUGUUACCGCUCUCAAAUAUUGAAAUUAUCGCCUUAAAACUGUUUGAAUAGAAUCAGAGACCCAUCCUUUUAAAGGUUAUAAUUGGUUGGUUCAAAAGAAGAUGAACCUAAAAACUUUUUCAAAAUACUCUAGAAUAAUUCUCGGUCGGUAAUGCAAUUCUUGUUUAGCACGUGGCAAAGAUUUGUUUUUAUAUUUUAUAAACAGUUUUUUGUUUCUCACUGGAGAAAUGCCUGGUAUCUUGGUUAUUGUUAAAAUUUACAACUAGGUGUACAAAAAAAAAUGUUUUAUUAGUUGAAUUUUUUUACUUACACCCCUUUUUGUUGCCAUUUACACAUAGAUAGAUUUGCAUUUACAAUUUACUAUAAUAGGGACUUCGGCGUAAUUUCAAGGGUAAACUCGAGUUUUUCGGCAGUCAAUUUUCAAAUAAAUGAUUAAGAAUAUCUAAGUCACCGUUGAUCAAACAGAGGAUUAAAGGGAUUAGACAUGCCAUUCCAUAAAUGGAGGAUCACUUGAAAUAACGCCUACAGUCCCUUUAAAGUCUUAAGUUUAGUCCUAACUGUGAUAAUGAAUACUUGAUUUGUUUACAUUAAACAGGUUUAAUUUAAACCUUUUAGAAAAUUUGAAUCCUCAUGUAUAGAUUGUAUAAUUUGUUGGAGUGACUAAGUAUAUGUAUCUGGUUAGUAUAUGUUUGUUACCCUUUAGAUUUAGUCAAUAAAUUUAGAAAAAAUG